UCCCACUGUUCUGAGUACCUGGAGAAUCUGUGGCCUCCCUUCCCGGAGGGAAUUGACAUACAAGCCAGAGCUGCAGAAGAGCUGGUCUCUCACCAACAGAAAUGGGUCCAAUAAAAGACAGAAUCUCCCUCACCUUGUCUCUCACACCAACUUGUCCCUGGCCCACAGCGAUACAUAAACUUAAUUCAAAAAGGUUAACCUGUAUUCAGUAGGGUUUGUCCAGGAAAGUGUCACACCUGUGACAAAUUAUGAGGAACCUGGAAGAAAGGAAACAGUCCAGGGAGAAAGAAAUAUCUGGGAAGCCUGCAGAGAGGUCAGGGCAAGGAAGGCUCUCCUCUCUUCGCAACUGAGGACGAGCUGGGAGAAGGGGACCAACGUACUUCCUCCCAACAGAGGAGAGCUGCAGACUCCUGUUUUAAGGAGAGAGGACUCUCUGGGAAUGUCUAGGAGAAGCUACCAGUUUGGUGUUAGGAUGGUGAUCUUGGGACUAUGUUGGCUGCUCACAUGCCUCAUCCUUACAAAUGCACACACCACUAAAUCCCAGGCAAUCCAGCUGACUGGGAUGGUGGGAGGGUCGGUAGUUUUCCCUUUCAAAGUUCCCCCGUGGGUGCCCAUGGAGACCAUCGUCUGGACCAUCAUCUGGAAUUCAGUCACAACCCUCACCACAUUUACCCCCAGGAAAGGGAAACUAGCUGUAGUUAAAGUGCUGGAUAAACGCUACAUAGGGAGGUUGAGGGUCUUGGACCAUACCUAUUCUCUGGUGAUUAGCAACCUGAGCAUGCUGGACAGGGGCAUAUACAGAGCGUAAAUAAACACUGAGUUCACCACCACCGUGACAGAAUACCUGCUGCGUGUAUACAAGAAAAUCCCCAUCCCAGAUAUUGCCAUUGCCAUCCUGAAUGGAACCUUGCAACCUCCUGCUAAACUGCUCUGUCGCCGAGGAAGCUAAAAGUGCCACCUUCAUCUGGAUGUACACCCGCAGGAGGAUGGGCCAGACCAAGGAAAACCCACCCUGCACAUCUCGAGCCAUCCAAGAGCUAAAGACAUGGUCCACACCUGCCUGGCAAGGAACCCCGUUAGCCAGGGCUCAAAAACGAUCUCCAUAGAAGACUACUGCGAAAGUGGCUCACCAGCGCCCAUUUUCCAAGCGCUGAAGGCAAUGUGCUUCUUACUGUUCUUUGGAUUCUUCUUCAGCAUGACCAAUAUUGUAAAAUAAGAACCACACGCUGCCUUUGAAUGCAGACCGGAGUGACGGGAACACAUGCAAAGGAAAGAUUUGUCCCUCCGGGGGAUACAGAAGAUCUCACGCCAACUGCAUCCAAAUGCCACCAACCUUUGCUGUAAGUUACCUUCUAACGCAAAGAGCUGCCGCUGCAGAACUUAUUACUGUGGCUUUUAAAAAAGCUACUAUAGAUUCAAAGCAGCAAGAGAAGAUGCUGAGCAUUUCACAUCUGCAGGCAGAAGGUGAUAAUCUCCUAAUAUCUCCUCCUUAUGGACAUGAAGCAUCACACCUGAGAUCCAGCCAAUAGUGUGAUUGUGUGGACUCCUGUUUACCAAUAAAAUGCACUUCUCAGUCACGCCUGAAGUUACUGAUCUGCUCAUAAAGAUGUGGGGCUUUUUUUUCAGUUAUGCCAAGGCUCUGGGUGUCGCUGUAAUUUAUGCUUGGAGUGGCGUAAAGGGGCCUUAGUGUAAAUGAGAAUCUAUCCCCCCAAGAUCUUCAGCUAAUAAAGACCUCUCUGCAAAUCAAUGGGCCUGAUCCUCCCACAGCUUGCACCCCAUGGGCUUGAUUCACAAUUGUAUUAUUGAUGCCAAUGGUUGGUGACCGCUGUGGUGUGGUGCAAUCUGGUGGGCAGGAAACCCCUCCCCCUUUAACUGCCAGCUUCCUCUCUCGCUCAUUUCUGCAUUUGAUUUCUCAAUGCAUUUAUCUGGGCAGGAGGGGGAAGAAAGCCAAUUAGAUGGGGGCAGUGGUGUUGCCAAUCCCCCACAUUCAGAAAUCAUGAGCCAGGCCAUCCAGAACUCCUGCUUUGCGAAUCACAAGGGAAGAUUGUCAAAUCAUCGCAGUUGAAUUGCGGACAAGAUGUGGAAAAGGAAUAAUGGCCCUUUAUUCAUUGCAGUCAUUUGGAAAAGCUGGAGAAGACCUAUAUGUUUAAGAAAUAUUUGCUGGAACAAUAUAAACACUCAAGUAUUAUCUUAGGCCUGCUCAUUUUUUUGAUAACCAGACAUUUUGCUGCAACUAGAUUAAAGCCAUUAAUGGGAGGGAGGACAGUGGGAGUCUGGGUGGCUGGUGGCCGGGGCUCCCGCUCUCAGCUGCCCGGCUGACAAAAUUGCAGCAGAAGCUGAAUAUUGCGGGACCCACAAUUUCCACAAUAUUGCAGAUUCAACAUGAACAGGCAGUACCCGGGAGCUUCCUCCCAACAGGUGACCAGGGAAAGGGCAGAAUCUUCGGAGUGCCCGGGGGUUAGGGCAUUAGCCUGGGGUUUCAUAAGGCCAGAAGGAAGCAUUAGCUCAUCUAGCCAGGUUUCGUGUAUAUCACGGGCCAUUACCUGACACCCAAUCACACCUAUACACAGACCAGUGAUGCUGGACUAAAGCAUUUCAGUCAUCAAAAGGUGAACCCAUUGGUUGCCAAAGGUAGCAAACAGUGCCCCUGUGCCAGAGAUGGUGAUUUCCUGCAAUAUCUUUGGGGGAUCUUACUGCUUUAAAUUAAUGUAUCAGUGUGGGCCAGGGAUUGUCUGUAAUCCCAUAGCAGGGGAGAGGGACCAGCCCUCCAGGCUCAAAGAACAGUGUGUAUGUGUGGAGGGUGUGUGUGUGAGGGGGUGAUGAGGCAAAUUCACUCAGGUUGUAACAUCUCCAGGGAGGUCCCACCAUUGGGAGCGGCUGCAUAUUCUGGUUCAAAUUGGUUUCUCCAGAGACCAAUGGGCAAAGGAAAGACUUUUGGAUAAAGAGCCUGAGUUCAAAGUGACUCAGGGCCUGCUUUCAGAUCCAGCAUACCGAGAGGAUUGUCUGUCCAAGGGGGUCCCCAAUCCUUCCUGGGAAGGGUAGGA
Long non-coding RNA from Dermochelys coriacea (leatherback sea turtle), 3044 nucleotides. RefSeq lists it as uncharacterized. The transcript has 6 exons. The record is from RefSeq and is a predicted model, not a curated record. NCBI's taxonomy places the organism in Eukaryota, Metazoa, Chordata, Testudines, Dermochelyidae.